GCCGGAAUGGUGGAAUUGGUAGACGCAGCGGACUCAAAAUCCGUCGCCCGCAAGGGCUUGGGGGUUCGACUCCCCCUUCCGGCACCA
This 87-nucleotide transfer RNA is filed under the name Desulfovibrio sp. RNAcentral describes it as "tRNA-Leu". It matches the Rfam family "tRNA". Rfam says of the family: Transfer RNA (tRNA) molecules are approximately 80 nucleotides in length. The record is from RNAcentral. Lineage: Bacteria; Pseudomonadati; Thermodesulfobacteriota; Desulfovibrionia; Desulfovibrionales; Desulfovibrionaceae.